RNAcentral lists this ribosomal RNA (289 nucleotides) under uncultured bacterium. RNAcentral's name for it is "partial 16S ribosomal RNA". It matches the Rfam family "Bacterial small subunit ribosomal RNA", at positions 40 to 339 of the family's 1533-position model. The record is from RNAcentral.
CGGCAGGCCUAACACAUGCAAGUCGAACGGACCCUUCGGGGUUAGUGGCGGACAGGUGAGUAACACGUGGGAACGUGCCCCUUUGGUUCGGAACAACACAGGGAAACUUGUGCUAAUACCGGAUAAGCCCCCUUUCUUUAGCGAGGGAGGGGGGAAAGAUUUAUUGCCAUUGGAGCGGCCCGCGUUGGAUUAGGUAGUUGGUGAGGUAAAAGGCUCACCAAGCCUGCGAUCCAUAGCUGGUCUGAGAGGAUGAUCAGCCACAUUGGGACUGAGACACGGCCCAAACUCC